AGAGUUUGAUUCUGGCUCAGAAUGAACGCUGGCGGCGUGCUUAACACAUGCAAGUCGUACGAGAACGUCUUAGCUUGCUAAGAUUAGUAAAGUGGCGCACGGGUGAGUAACGCGUGGAUAAUCUACCUUCGAAUCGGGGAUAACAUUGCGAAAGCGAUGCUAAUACCGGAUAAUAUCUAUGGUUCUUCGGGACCUUAGAUCAAAGAUGGCCUCUACUUGUAAGCUAUUGUUUGAAGAUGAGUCCGCGUCCCAUUAGCUUGUUGGUGGGGUAAUGGCCUACCAAGGCAACGAUGGGUAGCUGGUCUGAGAGGAUGAUCAGCCACACUGGAACUGACACACGGUCCAGACUCCUACGGGAGGCAGCAGUGAGGAGUUUUGCGCAAUGGGGGAAACCCUGACGCAGCAACGCCGCGUGAGUGAUGAAGGCUUUCGGGUCGUAAAGCUCUGUCAAGUGGGAAGAAAAUAUAUAAAGCCAAUACCUUUAUGUACUGACGGUACCACUGAAGGAAGCACCGGCUAACUCCGUGCCAGCAGCCGCGGUAACACGGGGGGUGCAAGCGUUAUUCGGAUUCACUGGGCGUAAAGAGCGCGUAGGCGGCCAGGUAAGUCAGAUGUGAAAGCCCGGGGCUCAACCCUGGAAGUGCAUCUGAAACUGCUUGGCUUGAGUAUGGGAGAGGGUAGUGGAAUUCCUGGUGUAGAGGUGAAAUUCGUAGAUAUCAGGAGGAACACCGGUGGCGAAGGCGACUACCUGGACCAAUACUGACGCUGAGGCGCGAAGGCGUGGCAGCAAACAGGAUUAGAUACCCUGGUAGUCCACGCAGUAAACGUUGUUCACUAGGUGUAGCGGGUAUUGACCCCUGCUGUGCCGCAGCUAACGCAUUAAGUGAACCGCCUGGGAAGUACGGCCGCAAGGCUAAAACUCAAAGAAAUUGACGGGGGCCCGCACAAGCGGUGGAGCAUGUGGUUUAAUUCGACGCAACGCGAAGAACCUUACCUGGAUUUGACAUCCCGGGAAUUCUAUCGAAAGACUGAAGUGCCCUUCGGGGAACCCGGUGACAGGUGCUGCAUGGCUGUCGUCAGCUCGUGUCGUGAGAUGUUGGGUUAAGUCCCGCAACGAGCGCAACCCCUGUCUUUAGUUGCCAGCAUUUAGUUGGGGACUCUAAAGAUACCGCCCCGGUUAACGGGGAGGAAGGUGGGGAUGACGUCAAGUCCUCAUGGCCUUUAUGUCCAGGGCUACACACGUGCUACAAUGGGCUGUACAGAGGGUAGCGAUGCCGCGAGGUGGAGCCAAUCCCAAAAAGCAGUCCCAAGUUCGGAUUGGAGUCUGC
This 1328-nucleotide ribosomal RNA is filed under the name metagenome. Its description in RNAcentral is "bacterial SSU rRNA". It matches the Rfam family "Bacterial small subunit ribosomal RNA", at positions 8 to 1308 of the family's 1533-position model. The record is from RNAcentral.